RNAcentral lists this ribosomal RNA (496 nucleotides) under uncultured bacterium. Its description in RNAcentral is "partial 16S ribosomal RNA". It matches the Rfam family "Bacterial small subunit ribosomal RNA", at positions 29 to 507 of the family's 1533-position model. The record is from RNAcentral.
AUGAACGCUGGCGGCGUGCCUAAUCCAUGCAAGUCGAGCGAACAGACGAGGAGCUUGCUCCUCUGACGUUAGCGGCGGACGGGUGAGUAACACGUGGAUAACCUACCUAUAAGACUGGGAUAACUUCGGGAAACCGGAGCUAAUACCGGAUAAUAUAUUGAACCGCAUGGUUCAAUAGUGAAAGACGGUUUUGCUGUCCCUUAUAUAUGGAUCCGCGCCGCAUUAGCUAGUUGGUAAGGUAACGGCUUACCAAGGCAACGAUGCGUAGCCGGCCUGAGAGGGUGAUCGGCCACACUGGAACUGAGACACGGUCCAGACUCCUACGGGAGGCAGCAGUAGGGAAUCUUCCGCAAUGGGCGAAAGCCUGACGGAGCAACGCCGCGUGAGUGAUGAAGGUCUUCGGAUCGUAAAACUCUGUUAUUAGGGAAGAACAAAUGUGUAAGUAACUAUGCACGUCUUGACGGUACCUAAUCAGAAAGCCACGGCUAACUACGUG